This 253-nucleotide ribosomal RNA is filed under the name uncultured bacterium. RNAcentral describes it as "partial 16S ribosomal RNA". It matches the Rfam family "Bacterial small subunit ribosomal RNA", at positions 524 to 776 of the family's 1533-position model. The record is from RNAcentral.
UACGUAGGGACCAAGCGUUGUUCGGAUUUACUGGGCGUAAAGGGCGCGUAGGUGGCGCAAUAAGUUAUUUGUGAAAACUUUGGGCUUAACCCAAAACUGUCAAGUAAUACUGUUGUGCUAGAGUGCAGAAGAGGCAAUUAGAAUUCUCGGUGUAGCGGUGAAAUGCGUAGAUAUCGAGAGGAAUACCUGUGGCGAAAGCAAAUUGCUGGGCUAGCACUGACACUGAAGCGCGAAAGCUAGGGUAGCAAACGGG